This 335-nucleotide ribosomal RNA is filed under the name uncultured Anaerolineaceae bacterium. RNAcentral's name for it is "bacterial SSU rRNA". It matches the Rfam family "Bacterial small subunit ribosomal RNA", at positions 1031 to 1382 of the family's 1533-position model. The record is from RNAcentral. Lineage: Bacteria; Bacillati; Chloroflexota; Anaerolineae; Anaerolineales; Anaerolineaceae.
GACGUUGGUCGACUGCGUGUCGUCAGCUCGUGUCGUGAGAUGUUCGGUUAAGUCCGCUAACGAGCGCAACCCUCGCUGUGUGUUACAAGUGUCACACGGAACUGCCGGUCAUAAACCGGAGGAAGUGGGGAUGACGUCAAGUCAGCAUGGCCUUUAUAUCCUGGGCUACACACAGCUACAAUGGGAAGGGACAAUAGGUUGCGAAGCCGCGAGGCGGAGCCAAUCCAGCAAAACUUCCCUCAGUUCAGAUUGCAGGCUGCAACCCGCCUGCAUGAAGUUGGAGUUGCUAGUAAACGCAGGUCAGCCAUACUGCGUUGAAUACGUUCCCGGGGCUU